RNAcentral lists this ribosomal RNA (503 nucleotides) under uncultured bacterium. RNAcentral's name for it is "bacterial SSU rRNA". It matches the Rfam family "Bacterial small subunit ribosomal RNA", at positions 28 to 533 of the family's 1533-position model. The record is from RNAcentral.
GACGAACGCUGGCGGCGUGCCUAACACAUGCAAGUCGAACGGACGAACUGAAUAGCUUGCUAGGAAGUUUGUUAGUGGCGGACGGGUGAGUAACGCGUGGGUAACCUGCCCAAAUGUUCGGGACAACACUAGGAAACUGGUGCUAAUACCGGAUACGCUGCCUGGAGGGCCUCCUCCGGGCAGGAAAGGAGCAAUCCGCAAAUGGAUGGACCCGCGUCCCAUUAGCUAGUUGGUGAGGUAACGGCCCACCAAGGCAACGAUGGGUAGCCGGCCUGAGAGGGUGACCGGCCACACUGGGACUGAGACACGGCCCAGACUCCUACGGGAGGCAGCAGUGGGGAAUAUUGCGCAAUGGGCGAAAGCCUGACGCAGCAACGCCGCGUGAGUGACGAAGGCCUUCGGGUCGUAAAGACUCUGUCAUGAGGGACGAAGAAAGUAGACGGUACCUCAGGAGGAAGCCCCGGCUAACUACGUGCCAGCAGCCGCGGUAAAACGUAGACGUG